This 41-nucleotide ribosomal RNA is filed under the name Lactifluus brachystegiae. RNAcentral describes it as "partial 28S ribosomal RNA". Lineage: Eukaryota; Fungi; Basidiomycota; Agaricomycetes; Russulales; Russulaceae. The record is from RNAcentral.
CUGACCUCAAAUCGGGUGAGACUACCCGCUGAACUUAAGCA